GGAGGUCUGAAGUCUGAAACCAAGGCGUCAGUAAGUUUGGUUCCUUCUGGCUGCUCUGAGGAAGAAUCUGUUCCAUGUCUCUCUCCUAGAUCUUCGCAUUGCCAGCAAUCCAUGGCCUAUGGAUACGUCAUUCCAAUAUCUGCCUCUGUAUUCACAAAGCAUUCUCCCUGUGUGUCUCUUGUCUUUAUGUCUUCUCCUCUUCUUAUAAGGAUACCAGUCAUACUGACUGUAGGGCCACCGUAACCCAUUAUGACCUAAUCUUAACUUGAUUAUAUCUGCAAAGACCUUAUUUCCAAAAAAGGUCAUAUUCAUAGGUACAAGAGGUUAGGACUUCAACAUAUAUUUUGGGGAGACAAUUCAACCUAUAAAGCCUCGUGAAAGGGGAUGUUAAGUGGGCCGAUAGGUAUAUAAGGAUGACGUUCAGAAGAGAGGUCUGCUUUGGAGAUAUUAAUUUGGCAGUCAUAGAAAACCAGCCUAGGGACUAGAUGUAGAUAGAGAAUAGAAGGGGUACUAGGUUGAGCUCUGGGGCUGUUCAAUAUUUAGUGGUUUGUGGAAGAGAAGGAGCCGGCAUAGAAGACUGAGAAGAAGUGGUCAGUGAGGUAGAAAACCAGGAGAAUGUGGUGUCCAAGAAACUAAGAGGAGAGAAGUUUCAAGAUGGAAGUAGCGGUCAACCUUGCUGAGACGUGGCUCUCAGACCCAGCAGCAUGCAGACCAGUGGUGAUGCCAACACGAUUAAUUUCAGUGGAGCAGUGGGGAUGGAAGCUCACCCGGAGGGGCUGAAGAGAGGAUGUUGAGGGAGAAAGUCAGACAGCAGCUAUACACAACUCUUUCAAAUUCAAAAAGUUUUGCCAUGACACAUAGAAAAACUGGGUGACAACAGAGGGAAAUGCGGGUAAUGGGAGGGUUGUUUAUGUUGUAAAGCUGGAAUAUAUUAGAGAAUGUUUGUAUGAUGUUGAACAUGUUCUUCUAGUGAUGGAAGCAGAGACACUCAAUUCACUGUAUAAAGAGGGAAGGCAAAUCAUGGAGGACACAUACAGGUAGGGAAGUAGAGCUGGUGCCAGGAAAAUGAGGAAGCACUUCAAAUUGCUUUUCUUUUUUCCAUGAGGGAUGAGGCAAGGUCAUCAGCUGAAAGUGAGGGAUGAAGAGAGUGAAAGAUGUUUGAAGAGACAGAAGUUAGGAGGUAGAAGCUUUGAUCAUGUCGAAUAAAUAUGGGAAGACUACAGAACACUUCAGGUGAGCUUUGGCUCAGCUCCAAGCGUCUUUUUCACUCUAGGAUAGGACAUGCCAUUCUGUGGCACAGUAUAAAGAGGAUACUGUGAUGGCUCCUAAAGCUUCUGCUCUGAUCACUUCUGUUGCCAUUUGAUUGGCCAGCAAGUCACAUGACCAAAUCUGGUUGCAACAAGUUAUCACCUGUGGUACACGGAUGCAAAAGCUUUCGGAGAGGGGGUCCUAGCUUAUUGGAGUUAAUGAGCUGCCUACAUUGUGGGCAUGUGGUCCAAUUGAUACUGGCCCUGGGCAGGUUUGCACUUUUAAUCAUUAAUGCCCUGCAGCCUGCUGGAAGCAUGGAAAGAAACAGGCUGACUAGAACAUGCCAGAAGACAGAGGCAAAGCCACAGGGAAGGCUCCCACUGCCCAGGAGGUGCCUGCAUGAAGGCACAAGUGGAGCUCAGGGCCCUGUUGCUGGGCAGAAACCUUGCUGGUCCUGCCUCAAGGGAGGCAGGGAAACCUCUCCCUUGGGUAACCUCCAAUGUUAAACAUAUCAGCAGGGGCCAGGCAUAUCUCAGGCCUGAGUAGAGGCUUGCACAUCACUCACUCCAUCAUUCAUUCACUCAAAAAUAUAUAUUAAGUAUCAACUCCGUGCCAGCCCCUGGCUACAGUAAUAAACAAGACAGACAAGCUCUCUGCCCCUUCAGAGUUUCAUUUUAGUCUGCAAAAAAGAUAAUAAACAAGUUAAGGAAUAAAUCAGCAGACAAUAAACAAGUUAAGGAAUAGAUCAGCAUGAUAAGGUCAGCUAGUAAUAAGUGCUGUGGAGACAAUAAAAGAGUGAUGUGAUAAGAGUACUUAGGUGAGGGGUAAGCUCACACUAAGUUCUAGUCAGGGAUGCUAGGCAAAGCUGACAUUUAUGCUGAGAUUCGAGGCAUGGGAAGGAGCCAGCUUUGCAAAGUGCUGGAAGAAAAGCCUUCCAAGCAUUAGGAAUGACAGGUGCAAAGGCCCCAAGGCAAGGAAAGGCCACAGUUAUUUGAGGAAGAGAAAGGAGACAGGCGUGGCUGAAGCUUGACGAGCAGGAUGGAGAAUGACUGGAGAUGAGGUUGGAGAGUUGAAUAAAGCUUAGGUUGAGAGUUGAAUAAAGCUUAGGUUAUACGAAGUUUUGUAAAGCCAAGUAUAUCAGUCAAAAGACACUCAGGAAAAAUCAGAAAUCACUCUAGAUUUUUCCAGUAGGAGGAAUUUAGUUUGAGGAAUUGGUAACAAACAUGUGGGAAGGGCUAGAGGAGCAAAAAGAGGGAGAUGAGGUUAUCCAAAGAUUAGUGAUUGCAGGAAAUCACACUAUCAGCCCUGAGGUUAGAAGAGCAAGAUCAGAAAUGAGGACAAUUGGACACCUGGGUGGCUCAGUCAGUUAAGCGUCUGACUUCCACUCAGGUCAUGAUCUCACGAUCCCUAAGUUCAAGCCCCGCAUCAGGUUCUGUACUGACAGCUCAGAGCCUGGAGUCUGCUUCGGAUUCUGUGUCUCCUGCUCUCUCUGCCUCUCCCUAGCUCUCUCUCUCUGUCCGUCUGUCUCUCUCUCAAAUAUAAAACUGCUCUACCACUGAGGCGGUUAUUAGGAACCCUGUGAGCUAGAACCUGAGCACAAGCUUUGUUAUUAGGUUCAGGAGGAUAAUGUAUGUAAAAUACUCAGCAUAGUGCUCAGCACUUAGUAAGGUCUCCAUAGACGUGAGCUAUGUUAUGAAGCCACACUCCAAGUACAAUCAACAUUACAUGGGAGAUGCCCAGCCUUUUAAAUGAGAUAUAGGAGAUCUUAGCACAUGGAAAAGUUGGGAACCAAAGGUUUUAGGAGAGCUCAGUUUAGACAAAUUGAUAGAAUCACAGAAUCUCCAUUUCCAGUAUUCUCCCACAGGACUCGCGCAAAAGACCUCUGCUAUGCUGUUUCUGCAAGCUCUGCUCGGACCGAAGUGGGAAAUCCAAAGCAUUCAACAGAGCAUGAUGGAGGUUGAAGGCGUGUGGUGGAGCAGUGAGGUGCCAGAGGAGAUAAUGAGCACUUGUUCCAGUUAUCUAUUGCUGUGUAGCAAAAGCUUAGAGCUUAAAACAAUCAUUUUUUUUUAUGUUUAUCAUUCUCUGGAUCAAGAAUUUGGAUGGGGCACGGUGUGGGGAUGGUUGUUUCCGUUUCUCAAUGUCUGAGGCCUCAGCUGAUAAGAUUAAAAGGAUAUGGGUCUCUCAACAGUUUGGGGCUAGAAUCCCCAAAGGCUCAUUUACUCACAUAUCUGGUGCUUGGGCUGGAUUGACUUGAAGAUCAGUACAGUUUUGGUUUAAGAUUUUUAUUAUUUAUUUAUUUAUUUAUUUGGGGGAGAGAAAGAGAAAGAGAGAGAGAGAGAAAGAGGAAGAGAGGGGCAGAAAGAGGGAGACAGAGGAUCCAAGAGUCCGCUGUGGGGCUUGAAUUCAUGAACCAUGAGAUUAUGACCUGAGCUCAAGUCAGAUGCUUAACCGACUGAGCCACCCAGGCACCCUGACCUGAAGAUUAGGACUGGAGACCAGAGUGCCUACACAUGACCUCUCUAAGUGCUCUGGCUUCCUCACAACAAGGUGAUUGCAUGGUAGUUGGACUUCCUACAUGGUGACUCAGGGCUCUAAACAUGAGUUUUUCAGCUAACAAGGUGGCAGCUACAUCUCCUCUCAUCACAAAGCCAAGGAAGUUUCUCAGCACUACUUCCACUGUAAUCUAGAAUGUAUAAGGGAGCCCUCAGGACUCAAAGGGAGGGAAAGUAUACUCUGCCUCUUGACGGGGGAACAGCAAAGUCUAAAAAAGCAUGUGGGGUGGGAGAUAGUAUCGGACCAAUUCUGGAAAAUAUAAUCUGCCACAGGCCUGCAGGCUAGAAUUCACACUUUCCAUGGGCCUGGGACCUUGCCAGCCAUCUUAGGAAGAGAACUUCUGAGCUCCCUGAGAAAGAUGGGGCCAAAGGCACAUGCCCCUCUCUAUGCCCUACCUUCUCCUCCAGAGGAAGUCUCCCCAAAACCCAAAAAGGGAGGAGAUCUGUCGCCCAGAAUAAGUCUUCAUAGAGUCUGCUGUUGAAAACUCAGGGGACAUAUGUCACCUUAGAGAGCAAGAGAGCUAGAAACUGUGCUAGGGAGUCUCAUAACAAUUGACCCUGGACAGUGAUGAUGAUAGAGAUGAUAAGAUAUUUACUGAGUGCCUAUUUGGGACCAGGCACUUGAGUAUAUCUUUUCCAUUUAAGCUUCCAAAGGAAAUGUAGAGCCUUAAAUGCAUGUCAGAAAGCAAGAUGAUUGAAAAUUAAUGAGCUAAGGAUAUAUCUUAAUAAGUUAGAAAAAAAUACAGCAAAAUAAACUCAAAUAAUGUAGAAGGAAAUAGCAAGAUAAAAAAUAGAAAUUGAAGAAACAGAAACCAAAUAUGCAGUAGAGAAGAUCAGCCAAGCCAAAAGCCAAUUCUGUGAAAACCGAUGAAUUUCUCAUGAUAGUGACCAAGAAAAACUUGAAAGAAAAAAAAAUAAACAAUUUCAGAAUGAAAAAGAGGGAUUUAAAAAAAAAUUUUUUUUUAAAGAUGGGGGCACCUGAGUG
Felis catus (domestic cat) is the source of this 4785-nucleotide long non-coding RNA. RefSeq lists it as uncharacterized. Lineage: Eukaryota; Metazoa; Chordata; Mammalia; Carnivora; Felidae. The transcript is spliced from 3 exons. The record is from RefSeq and is a predicted model, not a curated record.